GAUGUUUCCAGUAAAGAAUAUUGGAGAAAGAUUACCUCGUGAUGACCAUGUGCUAGAUUCCUGUUUAAAAAUCCCUAUUUCCAGAUCAUUUCAUAUGGAAAAACCACAUCAACAAGAAAAUUAGUUUCCUCAGAAGAGAGGGUUAUAUCCAACAGGAGACAACGCCAAAGAACUGCAAAGAUGAUAAGAAGGUAAAAGCCUGGGUUCUCUGGAUCAAGCUAUGCAUGUUCUUACGGAUGCUCCAGCAUGUGACCUUGAACAGGUAUCUACGCGACCUUCAGCAAGUCACUUAACUUUCUGAGUCUCAGCUGCCUCAUGUAAAAUGAAGAUAAUAGUACCUACUUCUUAAGGCCAUUAUGAGGAAGAAAUGAGAUAAUCCAGGUAAAGUAUGUAACUCUGUACCUGACAUUAUGCUACAUGUUCAGGAAAUACUAACAGCUAUCUAUUACAAUCGAAUGAUCAUCAACUAAGAUAUGCAAGGUCUUAUUUUUCUAAACAGGUAAGUGGAUCUAAAAGAACUUCUAAUUCCUCUCAGGUCUACUUAAUUUUACUUGCUAAACAUAGAUUCAAACAGGGAGUACUGAAGGAUAAAUUUUCAAAAACUAUGACCUCUUCCAUCUAAAUGUACCAGCAGCAACAUGAACUAUGAGUGACCAAUUUGCUUAGAAACCAUUCAAGAGCAAAGUAACCACUCAACGUAAAUCAGGAUUUGGGUAGCAGUUGUAGCAUAGAACUGAAUUCUUAGCAGCCCCUACAUUAAUGCAGAAAAUACCUGACAGGAAAUGAUGAAAAAGCAAAGGAAGACCAGGCUACAGACAACAGAGAGCAACUCUCAGGAGUAACAAGGGUCAGAAACAGAUAUUAGGAUCAUGGUAAAAACUCCCAUUGCAGUACAUGUGAGAAUGCUGAAGAGAAGAGAACAGAAAGUGGCUAGCCUGACCACCUUUGAGACUUUGCUGUGAGCUCUCACAGCAUACUCCAUGCAUGCCUCCAACAUUACACUUACCACCAUGCACAGAAAUGAUACCUUAACAGAUAUCUCCACCACUGUUUUGAAUCUCAAAAGCAGGGACCCAUCUUAUAUUUUUGUGCAUUUUCAUCAUGGCACAGAAUAAUAUUUAAUAAAUGUUGAGGUAAACAAAACAGCAAAACAAAACACUGUCAACUUUAACCCAUUUAGUAGAAUAACAACUCAGCAACAAUAUCUAUCUAACAAUAUACUCUAUAGGAAGGAAAGAGAAACUGGAGAAACCAAGCUGAGUGUGUUCAAAGCUGCGAGAUGCAAAAGAGGUGGAAAAUUUAGGGGACUCAAUAGAAAUUAAGUCCAUAUUAAAGAAGACACAGAAGAAUAUAUUUAAAUUUAGGUAAAAAGUAUCUAAAAACAUUGGGAAGAUGCAUUUAUAAAUACUGAAUUUCAUAUAUGCAUAAAGAAUGAGAUUGUACUGCAACUACAGUGACCCUUUGCCGAAAAUUUCAGAAUAACUGCUAUGUAAUGUUGUCUCCCUACUAAGCAUCCUUUGAUCUUUUAAGUGAGAUUUACCAUAUAUGUUAUGGGAAGGGCAUUACAGGGAUGGCUUAUUAACUCUGACACGAGAUGUAUUCAAAUGAAUCAAAGGACAUAUUUCCUGGGCUUUCCUGAAUGGACACUAAAAUGAGACAUAAUAAAAAGUUCCUUUUAGUUUGAACAGUUUAUACAAUGAGACAGAUUGACACAGAAAGCUUUAUCAUAGAUUCACAACCCACAUAUAUAACAAUGCACUCAGAAAAGAAGCUAAUCUAGUGACUUUAAAGAAUUAUUAUAGAGGUAAAAAUCAGCCAAAUUUCACCAAAUGAAAAUUAGCCUUAUAUUGCUCUUAAACCUGCUCACUGUAUGCAAUGCAACAAUUGCCCUUGGACUUAAGAUUCACUUUCUGCUCAUACAUGAAUGCAAGGAUAAGACCAUGUAGAAACCAAAUUGAACUUGCUUAAAGCCUUUAGCUUUAUUAUCAAGAAAAAUUAUCCUCUCCAAUUGGUAAGACAUAAAACACAGAAAAAAGAAAAGGACAAAAAGCAUCACAAAGCAAUGUUUAUAAACAAAGGCAGAGCCUCAAUUCACAAGAUGGUAAUUUCGAGCAAAAAGAAAAAGGCACUCCAAAGAAAUAAAGUGCACACAAACUAAGACUCUGCUAAGCAAGUUUUAUUUGUAAAACAUGUUUAAGAUGAGACUUUUUCAAAAAACUGCAACAGACAACCACUGGAGUACAAAAUCUCAAAGGUGAUCUUAACUGACUUACAUAAUUAUUCACUGUGAUAAAUGAAUGUGAGAUUUCAGAGUGGGUAGAAAUGCUCCCCUGGAAAUGGAGCAGGGACAGUGUAGAUGAAAGCCUGGAGGAAAAUGGGCAAAAAUUGCAAUCAGAAUCACAUUUUUCUCAAUUUUAUAUAUACAAUGUCUCCAACCAAACAAUUCUCAAUAGCUAUGCAGACUUUUAUC
Molecule: long non-coding RNA, 2470 nt
Organism: Pongo pygmaeus (Bornean orangutan)
Lineage: Eukaryota; Metazoa; Chordata; Mammalia; Primates; Hominidae
Exons: 3
Source: RefSeq, a predicted model, not a curated record